GCCGGUCAUUGGAAUGGGUACAAUUUAAACCCUUUAACGAGUAUCUAUGAGAGGGCAAGUCUGGUGCCAGCAGCCGCGGUAAUUCCAGCUCUCAAAAUGCAUAGAAUCAUUGCUGCGGUUAAAAAGCUCGUAGUUGGAUCUGUGCUGGCGGGUCGGUCCACCUUCGGGUGCGCACUGAUUUCGCCGGCUUUCCUGCUGUAUUUGGCCCUGUGCCUUUCAACGGGUGCAGUGUCCAGUGCAGCAAGUUUACCUUGAACAAAUCAGAGUGCUUCAAACAGGCGUUUCGCUUGAAUGUUCGUGCAUGGAAUAAUAGAAGAGGAUUUCGGUUCUAUUUUAUUGGUUUUAUAGACUGAGAUAAUGGUUAACAGAGACUAACGGGGGCAUUAGUAUUGCUACGUGAGAGGUGAAAUUCUUGGGCCGUAGCAAGACUGACUACAGCGAAAGCAUUUGCCAAGAAAGUCUUCAUUAAUCAAGAACGAAAGUCAGAGGUUCGAAGGCGAUCAGAUACCGCCCUAGUUCUGACCGUAAACGAUGCCAACUAGUGAUCCGCCAGUGGAACAUUCGCCCUGGUGGGGAACUUCCCGGAAACGAAAGUCUUCCGGUUCCGGGGGAAGUAUGGUUGCAAAGCUGAAACUUAAAGGAAUUGACGGAAGGGCACCACCAGGAGUGGAGCCUGCGGCUUAAUUUGACCCAACACGGGAAAACUCACCCGGCCCGGACACCGCAAGGAUUGACAGAUUGAUAGCUCUUUCAUGAUUCGGUGGAUGGUGGUGCAUGGCCGUUCUUAGUUCGUGGAGCGAUUUGUCUGGUUUAUUCCGAUAACGAGCGAGACUCUGGCCUACUAAAUAGUUUACACAUUGCUUCUGUGUGCAUAACUUCUUAGAGGGAUUUUCGGUGUUCAGCCGCAAGAAAUUGAGCAAUAACAGGUCUGUGAUGCCCUUAGAUGUCCGGGGCUGCACGCGCGCUACACUGGCAAAAUCAGCGUGCUUGUCCUUCCCCGAAAGGGGUUGGUAAACUCGUGAAAAUUUGCCGUGAUUGGGAUCGGAAAUUGCAAUUAUUUUCCGUGAACGAGGAAUUCCAAGUAAGUGCGAGUCAUCAACUCGCGUUGAUUACGUCCCUGCCCUUUGUACACACCGCCCGUCGCUGCCCGGGACUGAGCCGUUUUGAGAAACUUGGAGACCGCUGAUCUGGUAACUUCGAUUGCCAUUUUGGUGGGAACCAAUUUAA
This 1227-nucleotide ribosomal RNA is filed under the name metagenome. Its description in RNAcentral is "SSU rRNA". It matches the Rfam family "Eukaryotic small subunit ribosomal RNA", at positions 501 to 1762 of the family's 1831-position model. The record is from RNAcentral.